GGGUUGUGAGGUUAAGCGAAUAAGCGUACACGGUGGAUGCCUAGGCAAUCAGAGGCGAUGAAGGACGUGCUAAUCUGCGAAAAGCGUCGGUAAGGUGAUAUGAACCGCUAUACCCGACGAUAUCCGAAUGGGGAAACCCAGUAUCCAAUGGAUACUAUCAUUAACUGAAUCCAUAGGUUAAUGAGGCGAACCGGGAGAACUGAAACAUCUCAGUACCCCGAGGAAA
RNAcentral lists this ribosomal RNA (226 nucleotides) under Proteus mirabilis. Its description in RNAcentral is "partial 23S ribosomal RNA". It matches the Rfam family "Bacterial large subunit ribosomal RNA", at positions 1 to 219 of the family's 2925-position model. The record is from RNAcentral. Lineage: Bacteria; Pseudomonadati; Pseudomonadota; Gammaproteobacteria; Enterobacterales; Morganellaceae.